UGGGGAAUCUUGCGCAAUGGCCGAAAGGCUGACGCAGCGACGCCGCGUGUGGGAGGAAGCUCUUCGGGGUGUAAACCACUGUUGCCCGGGACGAACGAGCGAUUUUGAUCGCUGUGACGGUACCGGGUGAGGAAGCACCGGCUAACUCUGUGCCAGCAGCCGCGGUAAUACAGAGGGUGCGAGCGUUGUCCGGAAUCACUGGGCGUAAAGGGCGCGUAGGCGGCUCGGUAAGGUUGCGGUGAAAGCCCGGGGCUCAACCCCGGGUCGGCCGUGGCAACUGCUGGGCUCGAGCACUGUAGAGGCAGGUGGAAUUCCGGGUGUAGCGGUGGAAUGCGUAGAGAUCCGGAAGAACACCGGUGGCGAAGGCGGCCUGCUGGGCAGUAGCUGACGCUGAUGCGCGACAGCGUGGGGAGCAAACAGGAUUAGAUACCCCCGUAGUCC
RNAcentral lists this ribosomal RNA (441 nucleotides) under uncultured bacterium. RNAcentral's name for it is "bacterial SSU rRNA". It matches the Rfam family "Bacterial small subunit ribosomal RNA", at positions 355 to 796 of the family's 1533-position model. The record is from RNAcentral.